UGGGGAAUAUUGCACAAUGGGCGCAAGCCUGAUGCAGCCAUGCCGCGUGUGUGAAGAAGGCCUUCGGGUUGUAAAGCACUUUCAGCGGGGAGGAAGGCGAUAAGGUUAAUAACCUUGUCGAUUGACGUUACCCGCAGAAGAAGCACCGGCUAACUCCGGGCCAGCAGCCGCGGUAAUACGGAGGGUGCAAGCGUUAAUCGGAAUUACUGGGCGUAAAGCGCACGCAGGCGGUCUGUCAAGUCGGAUGUGAAAUCCCCGGGCUCAACCUGGGCACUGCAUUCGAAACUGGCAGGCUAGAGUCUCGUAGAGGGGGGUAGAAUUCCCGGUGUAGCGGUGAAAUGCGUAGAGAUCUGGAGGAAUACCGGUGGCGAAGGCGGCCCCCUGGACGAAGACUGACGCUCAGGUGCGAAAGCGUGGGGAGCAAACAGG
This 429-nucleotide ribosomal RNA is filed under the name Chloroflexota bacterium. Its description in RNAcentral is "Chloroflexi bacterium partial 16S ribosomal RNA". It matches the Rfam family "Bacterial small subunit ribosomal RNA", at positions 355 to 776 of the family's 1533-position model. Lineage: Bacteria; Bacillati; Chloroflexota. The record is from RNAcentral.